Marmota marmota marmota (Alpine marmot) is the source of this 163-nucleotide small nuclear RNA. Its record names the gene U1. It matches the Rfam family "U1 spliceosomal RNA". From Rfam's summary of the family: U1 is a small nuclear RNA (snRNA) component of the spliceosome (involved in pre-mRNA splicing). Its 5' end forms complementary base pairs with the 5' splice junction, thus defining the 5' donor site of an intron. NCBI's taxonomy places the organism in Eukaryota, Metazoa, Chordata, Mammalia, Rodentia, Sciuridae. The record is from Ensembl.
AUACUUACCUAGAAGGGAAGAUACUAUGAUCACAAAGGUGGUUUUUCCCAGGGCGAGGCAUUUUCAUUGCAUUCUAGACAAUCUGAUCCCUGUGAUUUCCUCAAAUGUGGGAAACUCUACUGCAUAAUUUGUGAUAGUGGGAACUGAGUUCAUGCUCUCCUAU